UGCGUAGGCGGCGCGGUAAGUCGGGUGUGAAAUCUCGGAGCUUAACUCCGAAACUGCAUUCGAUACUGCCGUGCUUGAGGACUGGAGAGGAGACUGGAAUUUACGGUGUAGCGGUGAAAUGCGUAGAUAUCGUAAGGAAGACCAGUGGCGAAGGCGGGUCUCUGGACAGUUCCUGACGCUGAGGCACGAAGGCCAGGGGAGGCAAAACCGG
This 211-nucleotide ribosomal RNA is filed under the name uncultured bacterium. RNAcentral's name for it is "partial 16S ribosomal RNA". It matches the Rfam family "Bacterial small subunit ribosomal RNA", at positions 568 to 776 of the family's 1533-position model. The record is from RNAcentral.